RNAcentral lists this ribosomal RNA (23 nucleotides) under Rhizoctonia solani. Its description in RNAcentral is "partial 28S ribosomal RNA". Lineage: Eukaryota; Fungi; Basidiomycota; Agaricomycetes; Cantharellales; Ceratobasidiaceae. The record is from RNAcentral.
CUGAACUUAAGCAUAUCAAUAAG